CCCUACGGGGCGCAGCAGUGGGGGAUAUUGCACAAUGGGGGGAACCCUGAUGCAGCGACGCCGCGUGGGUGAAGAAGCGCCUCGGCGCGUAAAGCCCUGUCAGCAGGGAAGAAAAUGACGGUACCUGAAGAAGAAGCCCCGGCUAACUACGUGCCAGCAGCCGCGGUAAUACGUAGGGGGCAAGCGUUAUCCGGAUUUACUGGGUGUAAAGGGGGCGCAGACGGCAAUGCAAGCCAGGAGUGAAAGCCCGGGGCCCAACCCCGGGACUGCUUUUGGAACUGCGUGGCUGGAGUGCAGGAGGGGCG
Molecule: ribosomal RNA, 305 nt
Filed under: uncultured bacterium
Lineage: Bacteria
Description: bacterial SSU rRNA
Rfam family: Bacterial small subunit ribosomal RNA
Source: RNAcentral